This 460-nucleotide ribosomal RNA is filed under the name uncultured bacterium. Its description in RNAcentral is "partial 16S ribosomal RNA". It matches the Rfam family "Bacterial small subunit ribosomal RNA", at positions 338 to 795 of the family's 1533-position model. The record is from RNAcentral.
CCUACGGGUGGCAGCAGUGAGGAAUAUUGGUCAAUGGGCGGGAGCCUGAUCCAGCCAAGCCGCGUGAGGGAUGAAGGUACUACGUGUGGUAAGCCUCUUUUGUCAGGGAACAAAGGCUGGCACGUGUCCCCGAAUGCGUGUACCUCAAGAAAAAGCAUCGGCUAACUCCGUGCCAGCAGCCGCGGUAAUACGGAGGGUCCGAGCGUUAUCCGGAUUUAUUGGGUUUAAAGGGUGCGCAGAGGGGUUGUUAAGUCAGCUGGGAAAGCUCGGGGCCCAACCCCGGGACUGCAGUUGAAACUGGCAGGCUGGAGUACAGGAGAGGUAGGCGGAAUUCGUGGUGUAGCGGUGAAAUGCGUAGAUAUCACGAAGAACUCCGAUUGCGAAGGCAGCCUGCUGGACUGAAACUGACGUUGAGGCACGAAAGCGUGGGUAGCGAACAGGAUUAGAUACCCGAGUAGUC